GCGAGGCAAUACGCAGGGAACUGAAACAUCUCAGUACCUGCAGGAGAAGAAAGUAAAAACGAUUCCGUAAGUAGUGGCGAGCGAAAGCGGAGGAGCCCAAACCAUCAGAUGAUGGGGUUAUAGGGCUGCCGAGAAAGUCGAUGCGACAUGACAGGAGAAGCGCAGGGGAAGGCGCAGCGAAGAGGGUGAAACUCCCGUAUCCGAAGUCGUGAAGCAGGGCGAGGCAGACCCUGAGUACGUCGGGGCACGAGGAAUCCUGACGGAAGGAUCGAGGACCAUCUCGAAAGGCUAAAUACUCCCUGGUGAGCGAUAGUGAACCAGUACCGUGAGGGAAAGGUGAAAAGAACCCCGGGAGGGGAGUGAAAUAGAACCUGAAACCAUAUGCUUACAAGAAGUCAGAGCCCGUUAAAGGGUGAUGGCGUGCCUUUUGUAGAAUGAGCCGGCGAGUUAUGAUAUGGAGCGAGGUUAAGCAGGAGAUGCGGAGCCGAAGCGAAAGCGAGUCUUAAGAGGGCGAAAGUUGCAUGUCAUAGACCCGAAACCGGGUGAUCUAGCCAUGAUCAGGUUGAAGUCGGGGUAAGACCCGAUGGAGGACCGAACCGACCCCCGUUGAAACGUUGGCGGAUGAAUUGUGGCUAGGGGUGAAAUUCCAAACGAACCCGGAGAUAGCUGGUUCUCCCCGAAAUAGCUUUAGGGCUAGCGUCGCAGGAAGUGCCAUGAAGGUAGAGCACUGAAUAUGUGAUGGCCUCAUCCCGAGGUACUGAGCAUAAUCAAACUCCGAAUGUCAUGGAGACGAUGAGCGGCAGUCAGACCAUGGGUGAUAAGGUCCAUGGUCAAGAGGGAAACAGCCCAGACCAUCAGCUAAGGUCCCCAAAUACAUGCUAAGUGGAAAAGGAUGUGGAGAUGUACAGACAACCAGGAGGUUGGCUCAGAAGCAGCCAUCCUUCAAAGAGUGCGUAACAGCUCACUGGUCGAAUGACUCUGCGCCGAAAAUUUACCGGGGCUAAGCAUGAUACCGAAGCUAUGGAUUUACGAAAGUAAGUGGUAGGGGAGCGUUCCAGACAGCGAGGAAGGAUGAUCGAAAGGACAUCUGGAGCGUGUGGAAGAGAGAAUGCCGGUGUGAGUAGCGGCACGUGGGUGAGAAUCCCACGCACCGAAGACCCAAGGUUUCCAGAGGAAGGUUCGUCCGCUCUGGGUAAGUCGGGACCUAAGGCGAGGCCGAGAGGCGUAGCCGAUGGACAACGGGUAGAGAUUCCCGUACCUGGCUGUGGGUGAAGGAGUGACGGAGACGGCUAGGCCAACCAGCGGCUGGAAGAGCUGGAGCAAGCGAGGUAGGGGUCAUCCAGGCAAAUCCGGAUGGCAUAACCCGAAGGCGUGACGCGGAUGGAACAUUGCGAUAAGUACAGAAGAGGCCAAAGCCGGCUUCCAAGAAAAGCUUCUAGCAAAACUGCAGACAGCCCGUACCGAAAAUGGACACACAUGGGUGAGGAGAGAAUCCUAAGGUGAGCGAGAGAACUAUAGCUAAGGAACUCUGCAAAAUGACUCCGUAACUUAGGGAGAAGGAGUGCUCAGUGGAAGCUGAGCCGCAGUGAAACGGCCCAAGCGACUG
Molecule: ribosomal RNA, 1606 nt
Filed under: Massilimicrobiota sp. An134
Lineage: Bacteria; Bacillati; Bacillota; Erysipelotrichia; Erysipelotrichales; Erysipelotrichaceae
Description: Bacterial large subunit ribosomal RNA
Rfam family: Bacterial large subunit ribosomal RNA
Source: Rfam by way of RNAcentral